UCCUGGUAGCUCAGAUGGUAAAGAAACUGCCUGCAAUGUGGGAGACCCAGGUUCAAUCCCUGGAUCAGGAA
Molecule: transfer RNA, 71 nt
Filed under: Bos taurus (domestic cattle)
Lineage: Eukaryota; Metazoa; Chordata; Mammalia; Artiodactyla; Bovidae
Also listed under: 5 other names
Rfam family: tRNA
About the family: Transfer RNA (tRNA) molecules are approximately 80 nucleotides in length. Their secondary structure includes four short double-helical elements and three loops (D, anti-codon, and T loops). Further hydrogen bonds mediate the characteristic L-shaped molecular structure. tRNAs have two regions of fundamental functional importance: the anti-codon, which is responsible for specific mRNA codon recognition, and the 3' end, to which the tRNAs corresponding amino acid is attached (by aminoacyl-tRNA synthetases). tRNAs cope with the degeneracy of the genetic code in two manners: having more than one tRNA (with a specific anti-codon) for a particular amino acid; and 'wobble' base-pairing, i.e. permitting non-standard base-pairing at the 3rd anti-codon position.
Source: Rfam by way of RNAcentral